AUCAUAUUCCCUCCGUUCGGAAUUACUUGUCUCGAAAAUGGAUGUAUCUAGAACUAAAAUAUGUCUAGAUACAUCCAUUUCUGUGACAAGUAAUUCCGAACAGAGGGAAUAGCUU
Non-coding RNA from Triticum urartu, 115 nucleotides. NCBI's taxonomy places the organism in Eukaryota, Viridiplantae, Streptophyta, Magnoliopsida, Poales, Poaceae. The record is from Rfam.